This 469-nucleotide ribosomal RNA is filed under the name uncultured bacterium. Its description in RNAcentral is "SSU rRNA". It matches the Rfam family "Bacterial small subunit ribosomal RNA", at positions 26 to 518 of the family's 1533-position model. The record is from RNAcentral.
AGGACGAACGCUGGCGGCGUGCUUAACACAUGCAAGUCGAACGGAAAGGCCCUUCGGGGUACUCGAGUGGCGAACGGGUGAGUAACACGUGGGUGAUCUGCCCCGCACUUUGGGAUAAGCCUGGGAAACUGGGUCUAAUACCGAAUAGGACCAUGGGAUGCAUGUCCUGUGGUGGAAAGCUUUUGCGGUGUGGGAUGGGCCCGCGGCCUAUCAGCUUGUUGGUGGGGUUAAGGCCUACCAAGGCGACGACGGGUAGCCGGCCUGAGAGGGUGUCCGGCCACACUGGGACUGAGAUACGGCCCAGACUCCUACGGGAGGCAGCAGUGGGAAUAUUGCACAAUGGGCGCAAGCCUGAUGCAGCGACGCCGCGUGGGGAUGACGGCCUUCGGUGUAACCUCUUUCAGUAGGACGAAGCGCAAGUGACGGUACCUACAGAAGAAGCACCGGCCAACUACGUGCCAGCAGCCGC